RNAcentral lists this ribosomal RNA (1373 nucleotides) under Staphylococcus aureus. RNAcentral's name for it is "bacterial SSU rRNA". It matches the Rfam family "Bacterial small subunit ribosomal RNA", at positions 182 to 1533 of the family's 1533-position model. The record is from RNAcentral. Lineage: Bacteria; Bacillati; Bacillota; Bacilli; Caryophanales; Staphylococcaceae.
UGAGCCGCAUGGUUCAAAAGUAAAAGACGGUCUUGCUGUCACUUAUAGAUGGAUCCGCGCUGCAUUAGCUAGUUGGUAAGGUAACGGCUUACCAAGGCAACGAUGCAUAGCCGACCUGAGAGGGUGAUCGGCCACACUGGAACUGAGACACGGUCCAGACUCCUACGGGAGGCAGCAGUAGGGAAUCUUCCGCAAUGGGCGAAAGCCUGACGGAGCAACGCCGCGUGAGUGAUGAAGGUCUUCGGAUCGUAAAACUCUGUUAUUAGGGAAGAACAUAUGUGUAAGUAACUGUGCACAUCUUGACGGUACCUAAUCAGAAAGCCACGGCUAACUACGUGCCAGCAGCCGCGGUAAUACGUAGGUGGCAAGCGUUAUCCGGAAUUAUUGGGCGUAAAGCGCGCGUAGGCGGUUUUUUAAGUCUGAUGUGAAAGCCCACGGCUCAACCGUGGAGGGUCAUUGGAAACUGGAAAACUUGAGUGCAGAAGAGGAAAGUGGAAUUCCAUGUGUAGCGGUGAAAUGCGCAGAGAUAUGGAGGAACACCAGUGGCGAAGGCGACUUUCUGGUCUGUAACUGACGCUGAUGUGCGAAAGCGUGGGGAUCAAACAGGAUUAGAUACCCUGGUAGUCCACGCCGUAAACGAUGAGUGCUAAGUGUUAGGGGGUUUCCGCCCCUUAGUGCUGCAGCUAACGCAUUAAGCACUCCGCCUGGGGAGUACGACCGCAAGGUUGAAACUCAAAGGAAUUGACGGGGACCCGCACAAGCGGUGGAGCAUGUGGUUUAAUUCGAAGCAACGCGAAGAACCUUACCAAAUCUUGACAUCCUUUGACAACUCUAGAGAUAGAGCCUUCCCCUUCGGGGGACAAAGUGACAGGUGGUGCAUGGUUGUCGUCAGCUCGUGUCGUGAGAUGUUGGGUUAAGUCCCGCAACGAGCGCAACCCUUAAGCUUAGUUGCCAUCAUUAAGUUGGGCACUCUAAGUUGACUGCCGGUGACAAACCGGAGGAAGGUGGGGAUGACGUCAAAUCAUCAUGCCCCUUAUGAUUUGGGCUACACACGUGCUACAAUGGACAAUACAAAGGGCAGCGAAACCGCGAGGUCAAGCAAAUCCCAUAAAGUUGUUCUCAGUUCGGAUUGUAGUCUGCAACUCGACUACAUGAAGCUGGAAUCGCUAGUAAUCGUAGAUCAGCAUGCUACGGUGAAUACGUUCCCGGGUCUUGUACACACCGCCCGUCACACCACGAGAGUUUGUAACACCCGAAGCCGGUGGAGUAACCUUUUAGGAGCUAGCCGUCGAAGGUGGGACAAAUGAUUGGGGUGAAGUCGUAACAAGGUAGCCGUAUCGGAAGGUGCGGCUGGAUCACCUCCUUUCUAAGGA